This is a long non-coding RNA of Hippocampus comes (tiger tail seahorse), 889 nucleotides long. RefSeq lists it as uncharacterized. Lineage: Eukaryota; Metazoa; Chordata; Actinopteri; Syngnathiformes; Syngnathidae. The transcript is spliced from 2 exons. The record is from RefSeq and is a predicted model, not a curated record.
UUUUUCCUUGUUCGCAUUUGUAAAAGUUACUCCUGCUGCUUGCAGAGAUGACCAAGAAGAACUGUCCUCCUGGCACAACAUGGGACAACCUUGUCAACACCUGCAUCCGAGGUUGGGCCGAAACACGACCUGAACCUCCAACAGAGUUGACCCCAGUUUUCCAUCAGAGAAGCACAUCUCCUGCUGCAAGGGCGGACCCGGAUAUCGCUCUGAAUCCGGUUCUGUGGAUUGUGGUGGUUUUGACCACCGUGGGGUCCAUCAUGGCUUUGGCUCUCUGGUUCAUCAUAUACAAACGACAGAGCAGGCUCGGUAGAACCUCGGGUAUGUGUGCAAUUCCAUAGUAUCGAUGCAGCGGAAAUACAGGACGGCACAACGCGUUUUGUUGAUUUUUUGUUGAUUGUUUAUUCCAACUUUCUCUCACAUUCCAAAAACACAUGGCCGAGGUGCCUAUGUAAUAGCAUUUUAUUGAAUAAUUUUACUCUUAUCGCAGUGAGCUCCUGCCAUCUCAAAAAGUCAUUUUUCUAUGGUUAUCGUCACUUCUCCAUCGCCAAAAAGCAGCAGCACUGUUUAGUUAUAGUGUUCGCGUUUAAAUGGCACGCCUGGGCUCUGACUCAGAGGACAGGCGUCUCAGGAGUAUUUUGGAGGAAGUGGGCUAGCGGGUGCUGGGGUGUAACACUGCCUGAUGGGAGAAACAGCGCAGUUUCUGUUCUUCUCUCGGGCCUCCCAUGGGUCAACCCCACUCUCUUGCUUGUGACUCGAGUUCUAUUCUUAGCAGGAGAUCAAAUGAGAUCUCCUGGUGAACAGCACAUGAAGUGACAGUCAAGGUGAUCUCGAACAGUAAGUUAUACUAAAGCUGUUAGAAGAGGCCAGCCUGUCAUAUCUUAUGUUC